AGAGUUUGAUCCUGGCUCAGAAUCAACGCUGGCGGCGCGCUUAACACAUGCAAGUCGCACGAGAAAGGGAGCAAUCCUAAGUAAAGUGGCGCACGGGUGAGUAACACGUGGAUCAUCUACCUUUUAGUGGGGAAUACCUCUGGGAAACCGGAGACAAUACCGCAUAAGCCCGCAAGGGGAAAGCAGCAAUGCGCUGAAAGAGGAGUCCGCGGCCGAUUAGCUAGUUGGCGGGGUAAUGGCCCACCAAGGCGAAGAUCGGUAGCCGGCCUGAGAGGGCACACGGCCACACUGGCACUGAAACACGGGCCAGACUCCUACGGGAGGCAGCAGUGGGGAAUCUUGCACAAUGGACGAAAGUCUGAUGCAGCGACGCCGCGUGAGCGAUGAAGCCCUUCGGGGUG
Molecule: ribosomal RNA, 401 nt
Filed under: uncultured bacterium
Lineage: Bacteria
Description: bacterial SSU rRNA
Rfam family: Bacterial small subunit ribosomal RNA
Source: RNAcentral